GUGAGGGAGCGGCGCAAGUUGGAAUCGAAGCCUCUUAAAAUGGCAGAUGAUUUGGACUUCGAGACAGGAGAUGCAGGGGCCUCAGCCACCUUCCCAAUGCAGUGCUCAGCAUUACAUAAGAAUGGUUUUGUGGUGCUCAAAGGCCGGCCAUGUAAGAUUGUCGAGAUGUCUACUUUGAAGACUGGCAAGCAUGGCCAUGCCAAGGUCCAUCUGGUUGGCAUUGACAUUUUUACUGGGAAGAAAUAUGAAGAUAUCUGCCCGUCGACUCAUGGAUGUCCCCAACAUCAAAAGGAAUGACUUCCAGCUGAUUGGCAUCCAGAACGGGUACCUAUCCCCGCUCCAGAACAGCGAGAAGGUACGAGAGGACCUUCGUCUGCCUGAAGGAGACCUUGGCAAGGAGAUUGAGCAGAAGUAUGACUGUGGAGAAGAGAUCCUGAUCACAGUGCUGUCUGCCAUGACAGAGGAGGCCAUGGCAAAAUAACCGGCUUCCAGGGUGGCGGUGGUGGCAGCAGUGAUCUAUGAGCCUACAGAGGCCCCUCCCCGAGCCAGGUUCUGCUCUGGCUGGGCCCUUGGCUAGACUCCUAUUCAAAUUUAUUUGACGUUUUAUUUUGGUUUUCCUCAC
Molecule: non-coding RNA, 622 nt
Organism: Mus caroli (Ryukyu mouse)
Lineage: Eukaryota; Metazoa; Chordata; Mammalia; Rodentia; Muridae
Source: RefSeq, a predicted model, not a curated record